UGCCAGCAGCCGCGGUAAUAAGGAGGGGGUUAGCGUUGUUCGGAAUUACUGGGCGUAAAGCGCACGUAGGCGGACUGGAAAGUAUGGGGUGAAAUCCCAGGGCUCAACCCUGGAACUGCCUCAUAAACUAUCAGUCUAGAGUUCGAGAGAGGUGAGUGGAAUUCCGAGUGUAGAGGUGAAAUUCGUAGAUAUUCGGAGGAACACCAGUGGCGAAGGCGGCCCACUGGCCCGGUACUGACGCUCAGAUGCGAAAGCGUGGGGAGCAAACAGGAUUAGAUA
Molecule: ribosomal RNA, 279 nt
Filed under: uncultured bacterium
Lineage: Bacteria
Description: partial 16S ribosomal RNA
Rfam family: Bacterial small subunit ribosomal RNA
Source: RNAcentral